UCGAACGAGAUCCUUAGCGAAGCUUGCUUUGCUAAGUUCUAGUGGCGAACGGGUGAGUAACACGUGAGCAACCUGCCCAGAAGCAGGGGAUAAGCCACCGAAAGGUGGUCUAAUACCGUAUGUGAUUCCAAGGGGCAUCUCUUGGACAUUAAAGGGGGGGAUCUUCGGACCUCUCACUUCUGGAUGGGCUCGCGGCCUAUCAGCUUGUUGGUGGGGUAACGGCUCACCAAGGCAGCGACGGGUAACUGGUCUGAGAGGAUGAUCAGUCACACUGGAACUGAGACACGGUCCAGACACCUACGGGUGGCAGCAGUCGAGAAUCAUUCACAAUGGGCGAAAGCCUGAUGGUGCGACGCCGCGUGGAGGAUGACAGCCCUAGGGUUGUAAACUCCUGUCAUGAGAGAGUAAAGACUUAACGUUAAUACCGUUGGGUCCUGAUAGUAUCUCAAGAGGAAGGGACGGCUAACUUCGUGCCAGCAGCCGCGGUAAUACGAAGGUCCCAAGCGUUGUUCGGAAUUACUGGGCGUAAAGCGUGCGUAGGCGGCAUGGUAAGUCAGAUGUGAAAUCCCGGGGCUCAACCUCGGAACUGCAUCCGAUACUGCCAAGCUAGAGUAGUGGAGGGGAGUCUGGAAUUCACGGUGUAGCAGUGAAAUGCGUAGAUAUCGUGAGGAACACUAGUGGCGAAGGCGAGACUCUGGACACUAACUGACGCUGAGGCACGAAGGCUAGGGUAGCGAAAGGGAUUAGAUA
RNAcentral lists this ribosomal RNA (750 nucleotides) under uncultured bacterium. RNAcentral describes it as "bacterial SSU rRNA". It matches the Rfam family "Bacterial small subunit ribosomal RNA", at positions 62 to 784 of the family's 1533-position model. The record is from RNAcentral.